RNAcentral lists this transfer RNA (58 nucleotides) under Ancylostoma ceylanicum. It matches the Rfam family "tRNA", at positions 8 to 63 of the family's 71-position model. Rfam says of the family: Transfer RNA (tRNA) molecules are approximately 80 nucleotides in length. The record is from Rfam by way of RNAcentral. Lineage: Eukaryota; Metazoa; Nematoda; Chromadorea; Rhabditida; Ancylostomatidae.
UGGCUCAAUCGGUAGAGCGUCCGACUAUUAGUCGGGCUGUCACUGGUUCGAGUCCGGU